RNAcentral lists this transfer RNA (75 nucleotides) under Cordylochernes scorpioides. RNAcentral describes it as "tRNA-Thr". Lineage: Eukaryota; Metazoa; Arthropoda; Arachnida; Pseudoscorpiones; Chernetidae. The record is from RNAcentral.
UGUCUAGGAGCGGGAAUCGAACCCACAACCUUCUGCUUACCGGGCAGGUGCCAUGUCCACUAGGCUACCCUGGAC